This 531-nucleotide long non-coding RNA is filed under the name Drosophila guanche. Lineage: Eukaryota; Metazoa; Arthropoda; Insecta; Diptera; Drosophilidae. The record is from RNAcentral.
GGUUGUUCUCCUUUUGGACUCCGUUUAAUUGCCUUAGUUGGUCUUGGUUUCGGUUUUUGGGAUGGGGUUGGCUCUUUGGACCCUUUCCUCUCGUGUGCCUCGUUAUAUUAUGUGUAGCUUGACAAAUGUGUUGAGUUAGCAAAGUUUAUUGUAUGUACCAUGAGGUCCAGAGAGCGAGAGAGACAGAGAGAGACUUUAGCGUAUAGAUUAAGCGCUCUUUUUGGGGCUGCUGAAUUCUCAAGGUUGAUAAUAAAGUGAACUGAAGAUUUUGGCAUGGGUGGGGCUUGGAGAGUCUCAAAUUCCGAAGCACAGAAAUAUGUAUAUCUAAUAAGUUUUACGUAGAUGUUUACCGGGUUCAAUAAUCUUCUUAUUUAUACCCGGUACUCGAAGAGUAAAUAGGGUAUACUGUAUUUGUGCGAAUAAAGGUUGUAUGUAACCCACAGAAGAAAACGUUUCCGACCCCAUAAAGUUUAUAUAUUCUUGAUCAGCAUCAAUAGCCGAGUCGAUAGAGCCAUGUAUGUCUGUCCGUCC